This 439-nucleotide ribosomal RNA is filed under the name uncultured bacterium. RNAcentral describes it as "partial 16S ribosomal RNA". It matches the Rfam family "Bacterial small subunit ribosomal RNA", at positions 339 to 795 of the family's 1533-position model. The record is from RNAcentral.
CUACGGGGCGCUGCAGUGGGGGAUAUUGCACAAUGGGCGAAAGCCUGAUGCAGCAACGCCGCGUGAAGGAAGACGGUUUUCGGAUUGUAAACUUCUAUCAGCAGGGAAGAAAAUGACUGUACCUGACUAAGAAGCCCCGGCUAACUACGUGCCAGCAGCCGCGGUAAUACGUAGGGGGCAAGCGUUAUCCGGAAUUACUGGGUGUAAAGGGUACGUAGGCGGCUGAUCAAGUCAGAUGUGAAAGCCCGGGGCUCAACCCCGGGACUGCAUUUGAAACUGGUUGGCUAGAGUGCAGGAGAGGAAAGUGGAAUUCCUAGUGUAGCGGUGACAUGCGUAGAUAUUAGGAAGAACACCAGUGGCGAAGGCGGCUUUCUGGACUGUAACUGACGCUGAGGUACGAAAGCGUGGGGAGCGAACAGGAUUAGAUACCCGCGUAGUC